This is a long non-coding RNA of Parasteatoda tepidariorum (common house spider), 1413 nucleotides long. RefSeq lists it as uncharacterized. The record is from RefSeq and is a predicted model, not a curated record. NCBI's taxonomy places the organism in Eukaryota, Metazoa, Arthropoda, Arachnida, Araneae, Theridiidae.
CACCCUGUUAAAUGUAGACGUAAAGCUCAGUUAGAAGUAGAACUUGACUGUUUUCUUAAGGAGGAAAUCAGUUUUUCUUUUUGUCACCCAAUGAGAAAACAUCAGUUACUGAGAUAGACUGACUUAGAGGCAAGGGUACACAUUGGACUGAUCGUAAGACAUGAUUUUCAAUAGAUCACCGAAGUCAUGCAUCACUGGCAGUGGUUUGCAAACGAGUGGGUCACUAAUUUGAUUGACCAAAUUGGUCAACCGAGGAAGCACGUUAUCGAACCUUCUUUAAACUGUUCUACUGUAAGAGCUUGGAUUCACGCUCAGGACGUUGGGCUACCAAAGCAGAGGAUCAAAAAUGCGAUGGUAUGUCAUCGGAUUCUCCUCAGGAUUGUUUCCCAGACCGACGCCAAUAGCCCAUUGUGCAGCUCUAGUGAGACGUAAAUAAAGUACCUACCUACCUAAACUUUCUGGCGUUCUUAAAAACAGUUGAAAUGUUCAACAGACUGCUGAUGAAAAGAUUAAUCUAGAAGUUAAAAAGAUUAUAUUUUAUUUAUUCACAUAUUUAUGCCGGCGUGUGAACUAAAUUCAAACAAACGCUUAUAAACCAUUUUAAUUGGAAAAAAGCUCAAAAAUACAUCCAGGGUUACAGUGGAAUUGGAAAUCGCUACUUCUUAAUUUCAGCACAUUUGAUGGAAAUAUAUAUCCCUUGGUAAUAGAGGCCCCAAGAGUUUCAAAAUUUGCUGCUUGUGUUAGUGAUUUGAAAAUACGUAUUGUUUGGGCAACUUUUUUUAAGUCGGAUAUUUUUUUCAAGUUCAAGAUGCUCUUUAUUCAAAUCGUUUUUAUGACUACUAACUAAUUGAUAUUAGGCUGUUAACCUAGCUAUUGGAUAUGACUGUUUGAUCGAACAAUUUAAAAAUAAAAAUUUUAUUUCUUUUUAAGCUGAUAUCCAUAACGAGUAUUAAUUUUUUGGGCUGGACUAAACAAUUAGAGGUCUCUCUUAGUAAGCCUAUUAAGCGAUGCAUUGAAAUUUCAUACUUAUGAUCCAAAUGUGUUUCAUAUCACUGGAAAAUAAGGCCAUCUGCAACAGCUCCAGAGCAAGAUUAAAUGGAUAUCAGUCUACGACAGUUGGACAACAUCCUAAGUCCAUCAAAGAUUUCUUUUGUGAUGCUGUUAUCUGAAUAUGAACUUGCUCCAGUUUCCACUCAUGCCUGGAAUCGAUAGCUUUUAGCAUAUCCUAGCGGAGGUUUGACUUCUUCGGAUUAACCACGACCCUGGAAAUUUUUCGUGGUGGGCUAUUUCUGCGCGUCAGACUCAGUUUAUAGUACCGUUUGUUUAGCAAAUCUUGAAUAAUACUUCGGAUUUUAUUUAAUCAUAUUAAUUUGUAUUGAUUUAAACUCUAUUCUAAGCUCUAAUAAAUGCAUU